AUGGGACAUUUGUACAAUCCACAUAUGAAGAUAAGGAAGAAAGAGAUGUUUAUUUGCUGUCCAAAAAGUUCUCCCACGUCACUUUUGGCCCAAGAGAAGAUAGAGUCCAAGUCUCUCACGUUCUGGAUUCAGAUUCGGACUGCACAGACACACCUGACUCAAAACGCACACAAGUUUUUCAUACGGACUCCGAAUUGGGUGAUUCUUUUUUUGUUGGAAACUAGAUUUCGUGCACUUUCCAACCCAAUUGGAAUCACCUUCAAAUUCGUCCGGAGCGUUGAGUUGUGGACGAAACAAUCUGAUGCUGCAGCAGAAUCCGAGUCAAACUACAAGUCCAAAGGUGUUACAUCACCUCCACUUGGGCCCAUUGGCCUUGUACGACCUAGAUUUAGUUUUAGGCUGCCUUGGAACGUCCUCCCACCUCCUUGGCCGCCACCCCUUGCUCCUAUAUAA
RNAcentral lists this ribosomal RNA (453 nucleotides) under Triticum aestivum (bread wheat). RNAcentral's name for it is "partial small subunit ribosomal RNA". The record is from RNAcentral. Lineage: Eukaryota; Viridiplantae; Streptophyta; Magnoliopsida; Poales; Poaceae.